UGUUCUCAACCUUUUUGAGUUUAUGAGAUGGAAGGAAAUCCUUUGAAAACAAGUUCUUAUUUACUCUUCAUACCAGGUGAAAAAUCAAAAGCAAGAAAUCAGACCUUCAGUGGAAGCAAAACCAACCACAGAUCUACACGUCACGAUUGCAGAUCAGCUUUGGAUUAAGCAGGUGGCUUGUUCGUGAUGGUUGUGGGAUUUGACGGGAGAUUGAAGACGCGCUAAACUUUCUUUGGGAACAUCUCUGACUGUUUACGACGAAGUGCUUUCAAGGCGUCCGAAGUGGACCGACAGCAGCGAGAGCGUCUGCAAGCACAGUGACAGAUGGGGAAGCAUCAGGCGUUUGUGUUCAUCGAGCACAACCGUGCAUGUCCCUUGCUGUUGUGUGGAUGGACAAGAGCGACCUGUUUAACAUUCCUCUCAACUGUGGGCUCUUCCAGAACCUGGUCUCAGAGGAAAUGGAUUUAAAGGGCAACCAGUAAGGAAUGUGACUCCUCAUAAUAUGGGCUCGGCAAGACCUCUGAUCACUAAAUGCCAAGCCGGCUCCUGUCGCUGUGCUGUAUGACAGCUUAAUAAUGGCUUUCCUAGGUGCACGUUUUCAUUUCACAGUAGAUCCGUGGUCCAGGUGCGUGGUCACAGACCCAGUCCUGACCUCCUCAGGUCCACAUUCAUGACGCCUGACAAAGCUGAGCCCUGUAGAGAUUUCAGAGCACGACUCAAGUGUUCAGUGCUGCAUUUUAGGUCUAGUUAUUUUUCUUCAAUCUUAAAUAUGACCCACAUAGAGAAUAGAUUCUUGUG
This is a long non-coding RNA of Cyprinus carpio carpio, 798 nucleotides long. The record is from Ensembl. NCBI's taxonomy places the organism in Eukaryota, Metazoa, Chordata, Actinopteri, Cypriniformes, Cyprinidae.